GGGGGGGGGCGCGGAGGAGGAAAAGUGUCCGGAACAGGCCUCCGACCGCUGCGUGAUCCAACUCCUCAUCUCGAACCUGUCCACCCCUGAGGCUCCUUCGAGCCGGACCCUAGGAAGGCUGAACAAGGGGCCACCUUUAGGCCUUGUUUUCCCAGGCCUCUGGGACCUGGCGCUAGACCUCCGCUUCCCCGCAGGGCUUACUCCCACUCGCCCUUCAAGACUCAUCUUGAGUUUCGUUCAAUGAAUUCAUCAUGCAGCAACUA
Equus caballus (horse) is the source of this 263-nucleotide non-coding RNA. The record is from RefSeq and is a predicted model, not a curated record. NCBI's taxonomy places the organism in Eukaryota, Metazoa, Chordata, Mammalia, Perissodactyla, Equidae.